GACGAACGCUGGCGGCGUGCUUAACACAUGCAAGUCGAACGGAAAGGCCCUGCUUGCAGGGUACUCGAGUGGCGAACGGGUGAGUAACACGUGGGUGAUCUGCCCUGCACUUCGGGAUAAGCCUGGGAAACUGGGUCUAAUACCGGAUAGGAGCCAUUUUUAGUGUGAUGGUUGGAAAGUUUUUUCGGUGUAGGAUGAGCUCGCGGCCUAUCAGCUUGUUGGUGGGGUAAUGGCCUACCAAGGCGGCGACGGGUAGCCGGCCUGAGAGGGUGGACGGCCACAGUGGGACUGAGAUACGGCCCAGACUCCUACGGGAGGCAGCAGUGGGGAAUAUUGCACAAUGGGCGCAAGCCUGAUGCAGCGACGCCGCGUGGGGGAUGACGGCCUUCGGGUUGGAAACUCCUUUCGCUAGGGACGAAGCUUUUUGUGACGGUACCUAGAUAAGAAGCACCGGCUAACUACGUG
Molecule: ribosomal RNA, 465 nt
Filed under: uncultured bacterium
Lineage: Bacteria
Description: partial 16S ribosomal RNA
Rfam family: Bacterial small subunit ribosomal RNA
Source: RNAcentral